AAAAAUCUUAGGUAAUUUUUUAAAGAUUUUACUUAUUUAUUCAUGAGAGACACAGAGAGAGGCAGAGACAGGCAGAGUGAGAAGCAGGCUCCUUGUGGGGAACCUGAUGGGGGACUCGAUCCCAGGGCUCCAGGACCCCAGGACCCCAGGAUCAUGCCCUGAGACCAUGGUGGAUGCUCAGCUGCUGAGCCACCUAGGCAUCCCUUUUAGGUAUGUUUUAAAAAACAGUGAAUCCAGUCAAUAUUUAUGAUUUGUGUACCAGGUGAAUAUUUCCCUACAGGGCUAACAUUAAAAUAAUAAUACUUUCUGCUGUUCAAAAAAUUCUUGAGGUAAUUAAGUAAAUGAGAUUUAAAUACAUGUAGCUAAAUUAAAUUUAAAUAAUUGUUGAAGAGGGUAUGGAGAAGAUACCAAAGAUAGUCAAUAUGUAAAUCAAACAAUUUUUUAUAUAAUAAUUGCUAUAGGAAUUCAGAGAAGGGACAGAUCACUUCAGAUAUACUUGGUCCAGAAUGUUGACACUUUUCAAUAGGAAAUCCAUCUCAUUCUAAAUGUGCUUUUCUGGGCUAGAAUGGGUAGAUAAGCAGAUAGUUAUAGGCUGUUUUAAAAUUUCUUGAAUAAAAAUAUAGUUAGCUUGGAAACUUCAUUUUUAAAUAUCAGUGUUAACUAGAAAUGUAAAUGGGCAAUCAGACAUUUAAAGCACUAAGAUUUCGGUUGCCAUUAAUUUAAAAAAAAGAUGUGAGAUCUAAACUGUGUAGAAAGCAAAGAAGAUUUAGAUCAAUAGAGAGGAAGAUCUCUGCCUAUCAUGCAUUUGGGGUACGUGGAACAACAACAAAAAAUCUGAGAAUACUUACAUCAAGGGAGCAAAUAUGUUGGUUGAAGCAGUGACAUCAUAGAAGAAAAUAGUUGACAAUGAGCUCCGGGGAACUUGGAAUGUUUGUUGGGGUCAGUGAAGAAAGACCUUGAAUACCCAGAAUAAUUUAAGGUAUCAGAAUGAGGGGUCAUGGAUCAGAUUUGGAAGAAAUUGAUGAUAUGGAAGAAAAACUAAAAGAGAGAGAAAGUUGUCUUGCUCACACUGUGUGGCAUUCGGGAAGAAAUUUGGCCUUGAGAGCCAGGAAAACCUCUGCUCUAGUUUCUACCUCUAUAUAAUGGGGAAGGAGGCACCAUUGUUUCUCUUCUACAGUGUUACUCAGAAGGUCACUGAACAUCAUAGAAGGCAAGUGGGUUGUAGACAGCAAAGUACCAUGAAAAUCAUAGUUAAUUUCUGAUUUGCAUCUUAGGUCUGCGGUACCUUGAGGGCUAGUGACAAAGGACAACCAUUCAUGUAGAAGAGAUGUCUCUAAAUUGAGACGUCUCUGUUUUAUUUGUGAAACAUUCUCACUUUCUGCCAUAAACAUACCCUUCUGUUUGAUGCUCACUGAAAAUGCACAUAAUUUGAUCUUUUUCAUAGAUUGACAGUCUUUUCUUUUUUGAUGAGCUGAAAAAUAUUGGAAGUAGC
This 1492-nucleotide long non-coding RNA is filed under the name Vulpes vulpes (red fox). Its description in RNAcentral is "lncRNA (ENSVVUG00000014238.1)". The record is from RNAcentral. Lineage: Eukaryota; Metazoa; Chordata; Mammalia; Carnivora; Canidae.